This 148-nucleotide non-coding RNA is filed under the name Chlorocebus sabaeus (green monkey). Lineage: Eukaryota; Metazoa; Chordata; Mammalia; Primates; Cercopithecidae. The record is from Rfam by way of RNAcentral.
GCCGGGCAUGGUGAUGUGUGCCUGUAAUCCCAGCUACUUGGGAGGCUGAGGCAGGAGAAUUGCUUGAACCCGGGAGGUGGAGGUUGCAGUGAGUCGAGAUCAUGCCACUGCACUCCAGCCCGGGCAAUGCAGUGAGAUUCUGUCUCAA